UCCGGCUUGACGCCGGCAGUCCCCCGAGAGUCCUCAGCAUUACCUGCUAGUAACACGGGGCAAGGGUUGCGCUCGUUGCGGGACUUAACCGAACACCUCACAGCACGAGCUGACGACAGCCAUGCAGCACCUGUCAUCGGGCUCCUUCGUGAGAAGGCACCCCCAAGUUUCCAAGGGGUUCCCGAGAUGUCAAGCCUGGGUAAGGUUCUGCGCGUUGCCUCGAAUUAAACCACAUGCUCCACCGCUUGUGCGGGUCCCCGUCAAUUUCUUUGAGUUUUAACCUUGCGGCCGUACUCCCCAGGCGGAAUGCUUAAUGCGUUAGCGACGUCACUGAGAGGGAACCCCCCAACAACUAGCAUUCAUCGUUUACGGCGUGGACUAC
This 382-nucleotide unclassified non-coding RNA is filed under the name uncultured Pseudomonadota bacterium. RNAcentral's name for it is "uncultured proteobacterium contains 16S-23S intergenic spacer region". Lineage: Bacteria; Pseudomonadati; Pseudomonadota. The record is from RNAcentral.